Molecule: ribosomal RNA, 284 nt
Filed under: uncultured eukaryote
Lineage: Eukaryota
Description: partial large subunit ribosomal RNA
Rfam family: Bacterial large subunit ribosomal RNA
Source: RNAcentral
GAUACCACUCUUGUAAUGAUAAAAUCCUAACUUUGAACCGUUAUCCGGUCAGAGAACAGUUUCAGGUGGGCAGUUUGACUGGGGCGGUCGCCUCCUAAAAGGUAACGGAGGCGUGCAAAGGUUCCCUCAGGCUGGUUGGACAUCAGUCGUAGAGUGUAAAGGCAUGAGGGAGCUUGACUGCGAGACCAACAAGUCGAGCAGAGACGAAAGUCGGCCUUAGUGAUCCGGCGCUUCCGAGUGGAAGGGGCGUCACUCAACGGAUAAAAGUUACUCUAGGGAUAACA